RNAcentral lists this long non-coding RNA (252 nucleotides) under Mytilus galloprovincialis (Mediterranean mussel). Lineage: Eukaryota; Metazoa; Mollusca; Bivalvia; Mytilida; Mytilidae. The record is from RNAcentral.
UUUUUAAUCAAACGAGGUUAUAAGAAAUGGGACAUAGAUAAGGGGUUUGCGCGUGCUAACAAUAACAGCCGCAAUGACCUGUUACAGUACAAAAAGAAGAGGCGCAGCAAAAUAGUUCCAUUUGUUUUAACAUACAAUCCCGCCUUUACUAACCUUUCACGUUUGAUCCGUGCCAAUUGGCAAAGUAUUGCCAAUCACCCAAAAUUAUCCAAAAUCUUUCCCGAUCCUCCUGUUUUAGCUUUUCGGAGACCA